GAUGAACGCUAGCGAUAGGCUUAACACAUGCAAGUCGAGCGGCAGCACACGGUAGCUUGCUAUUUGUGUGGCGACCGGCGCACGGGUGCGUCACGCGUAUGCAACUUGCCCUAUACAGGAGGAUAACCCGACGAAAGACUGACUAAUACUGCGUAUGCCCACAACUUGGCAUCAAGUGGAGAGUUAAGACAUUCGGUAUAGGAUAGGCAUGCGUUCCAUUAGCUUGUUGGUGAGGUAACGGCUCACCAAGGCAACGAUGGGUAGGGGAACUGAGAGGUGUAGCCCCCACACGGGGACUGAGACACGGACCAGAGUCAUACGGGCGGCAGCAGUGAGGAAGACAGGUCAGUGGGCGCGAGCCUGAACCAGCCAAGUCGCGUGAAGGAUGACUGUGUUAUGGAUUGUGGCCUUCUGUUAGAAGAGAACAUCCGGAGGCACGGGUGACUGCGUGAAUGUACCGGAUAAAUAAGCAUCGGCUAACUACGUG
This 487-nucleotide ribosomal RNA is filed under the name uncultured bacterium. RNAcentral's name for it is "partial 16S ribosomal RNA". It matches the Rfam family "Bacterial small subunit ribosomal RNA", at positions 28 to 507 of the family's 1533-position model. The record is from RNAcentral.